AGCGAACGUUUGCGGCGGGCUUAACACAUGCAAGUCGAACGAGAAUCCCUUCGGGGAGGAAAGUGGCGCACGGGUGCGUAACACGUGGAUAACCAACCCAUUGGUUUGGGACAACACCGGGAAACUGGUGCUAAUACCAGAUGUGUCGCAGCUGUCUUCAGGCGGUUGCGAGAAAGGCCCGCAAGGGUCGCCAACGGACGGGUCCGCGUCCCAUCAGCUAGUUGGUGAGGUAAUGGCUCACCAAGGCAAAGACGGGUAGCUGGUCUGAGAGGAUGAUCAGCCACACUGGAACUGAGACACGGUCCAGACUCCUACGGGAGGCAGCAGUGGGGAAUAUUGCGCAAUGGGCGAAAGCCUGACGCAGCCACGCCGCGUGAGCGAUGAAGGUCUUCGGAUCGUAAAGCUCUGUGGGGGGAGAAGAAGAAAGCCGGUGAAGAGCCGGCCCUGACGGUAUCCCCUUAGCAAGCACCGGCUAACUCCGUGCCAGCAGCCGCGGUAAAGUC
This 503-nucleotide ribosomal RNA is filed under the name uncultured bacterium. RNAcentral describes it as "bacterial SSU rRNA". It matches the Rfam family "Bacterial small subunit ribosomal RNA", at positions 29 to 526 of the family's 1533-position model. The record is from RNAcentral.